RNAcentral lists this ribosomal RNA (494 nucleotides) under uncultured bacterium. RNAcentral describes it as "partial 16S ribosomal RNA". It matches the Rfam family "Bacterial small subunit ribosomal RNA", at positions 28 to 507 of the family's 1533-position model. The record is from RNAcentral.
GACGAACGCUGGCGGCGCGCUUAACACAUGCAAGUCGAACGGAAAGGCCUGCUUUCCCUUGUGGAUUGCGGGUACUCGAGUGGCGAACGGGUGAGUAACACGUGAGUGAUCUGCCCCCAACUUGGGUAUAAGCCUGGGAAACUGGGUCUAAUUCCCGAUAGGACUGCAGGGUGGUGCCUGUGGUGGAAAACGAUUUUCUAGUGGUUGGGGAUGAGCUCGCGGCCUAUCAGCUUGUUGGUGGGGUAAUGGCCUACCAAGGCGGCGACGGGUAGCCGGCCUGAGAGGGUGGACGGCCACAUUGGGACUGAGAUACGGCCCAGACUCCUACGGGAGGCAGCAGUGGGGAAUAUUGCACAAUGGGCGGAAGCCUGAUGCAGCGACGCCGCGUGGGGGAUGACGGCCUUCGGGUUGUAAACUCCUUUCGACCGCGAGGAAGCCACCUGGUUGGAUGGGUGGUGACGGUAGUGGUAGAAGAAGCACCGGCUAACUACGUG